CUGGUUGAUCCUGCCAGUAGUCAUAUGCUUGUCUCAAAGAUUAAGCCAUGCAUGUCUAAGUACAUACCUUUGCACGGUGAAACCGCGAAUGGCUCAUUAAAUCAGUUAUGGUUCCUUAGAUCGUUCUUUUUACAUGGAUAACUGUGGUAAUUCUAGAGCUAAUACAUGCAAAAAGCUCCGACCGUAUGGGAAGAGCGCUUUUAUUAGACCAAAACCAAUGGGGUCGCAAGAUCCCUCAAAUUGGUGACUCUGGAUAACUUUGUGCUGAUCGCAUGGCCUAGAGCCGGCGACGUAUCUUUCAAGUGUCUGCCCUAUCAACUUUCGAUGGUAAGCGAUUUGCCUACCAUGGUUGUAACGGGUAACGGGGAAUCAGGGUUCGAUUCCGGAGAGGGAGCAUGAGAAAUGGCUACCACAUCUACGGAAGGCAGCAGGCGCGCAAAUUACCCACUCCUAGAACGGGGAGGUAGUGACGAAAAAUAACAAUACCGGACUCAUAGAGGCUCGGUAAUUGAAAUGAGUACAGUUUAAAACCCUUAACGAGGAUCUAUUGGAGGGCAAGUCUGGUGCCA
RNAcentral lists this ribosomal RNA (569 nucleotides) under uncultured eukaryote. Its description in RNAcentral is "SSU rRNA". It matches the Rfam family "Eukaryotic small subunit ribosomal RNA", at positions 4 to 569 of the family's 1831-position model. The record is from RNAcentral.